This is a non-coding RNA of Triticum aestivum (bread wheat), 128 nucleotides long. Lineage: Eukaryota; Viridiplantae; Streptophyta; Magnoliopsida; Poales; Poaceae. The record is from Rfam.
GUUAUACUCCCUCCGUCUAGAAAUACUUGUCAUCAAAAUGGAUGAUGUAUCUAAAUGUAUUUUAGUUCUAUAUACAUUCAUUUUCAUCCAUUUUGAUGACAAGUAAUUCGGGACGGAGGGAGUAUAAC